This 497-nucleotide ribosomal RNA is filed under the name uncultured bacterium. RNAcentral describes it as "partial 16S ribosomal RNA". It matches the Rfam family "Bacterial small subunit ribosomal RNA", at positions 28 to 507 of the family's 1533-position model. The record is from RNAcentral.
GAUGAACGCUGGCGGCGUGCCUAAUACAUGCAAGUCGAGCGAACAGACGAGGAGCUUGCUCCUUCGACGUUAGCGGCGGACGGGUGAGUAACACGUAGGUAACCUACCUAUAAGACUGGGAUAACUUCGGGAAACCGGAGCUAAUACCGGAUAAUAUUUCGAACCGCAUGGUUCGAUAGUGAAAGAUGGCUUUGCUAUCACUUAUAGAUGGACCUGCGCCGUAUUAGCUAGUUGGUAAUGUAACGGCUUACCAAGGCAACGAUACGUAGCCGACCUGAGAGGGUGAUCGGCCACACUGGAACUGAGACACGGUCCAGACUCCUACGGGAGGCAGCAGUAGGGAAUCUUCCGCAAUGGGCGAAAGCCUGACGGAGCAACGCCGCGUGAGUGAUGAAGGUCUUCGGAUCGUAAAACUCUGUUAUUAGGGAAGAACAAACGUGUAAGUAACUGUGCACGUCUUGACGGUACCUAAUCAGAAAGCCACGGCUAACUACGUG